UACGUAGGGUGCAAGCGUUGUUCGGAAUCAUUGGGCGUAAAGAGCGUGUAGGUGGUUAGGUAAGUUGGAUGUGAAAUCCCCCGGCCCAACCGGGGAAGUGCAUUCAAAACUGCUUGGCUUGAGGGUGGCAGAGGGAGGUGGAAUUCCUAGUGUAGAGGUGAAAUUCGUAGAUAUUAGGAGGAAUACCGGUGGCGAAGGCGGCCUCCUGGACCAUUCCUGACACUGAGACGCGAAAGCGUGGGGAGCAAACAGG
Molecule: unclassified non-coding RNA, 253 nt
Filed under: uncultured Oligoflexales bacterium
Lineage: Bacteria; Pseudomonadati; Bdellovibrionota; Oligoflexia; Oligoflexales
Description: contains 16S-23S intergenic spacer region
Rfam family: Bacterial small subunit ribosomal RNA
Source: RNAcentral